GAUUGAACGCUGGCGGUAUGCUUAACACAUGCAAGUCGAACGGAAACGAUACUAGCUUGCUAGUAGGCGUCGAGUGGCGGACGGGUGAGUAACGCGUAGGAAUCUACCUGAUAGUGGGGGAUAGCCCGAAGAAAUUCGGAUUAAUACCGCAUAAUCUAUUCGUAGUAAAGUGGGGGACUUUCGAGCCUCACGCUAUCAGAUGAGCCUGCGUAAGAUUAGCUAGUUGGUAGGGUAAAAGCCUACCAAGGCAACGAUCUUUAGCUGGUCUGAGAGGAUGAUCAGCCACAUCGGGACUGAGACACGGCCCGAACUCCUACGGGAGGCAGCAGUGGGGAAUAUUGGACAAUGGGGGCAACCCUGAUCCAGCAAUACCGCGUGUGUGAAGAAGGCCUGAGGGUUGUAAAGCACUUUCAAUUGUGAAGAAAAGCUAGUGGUUAAUAGCCAUUAGCCUUGACAUUAACUUUAGAAGAAGCACCGGCUAACUCCGUGCCAGCAGCCGCGGUAAUACGGAGGGUGCAAGCGUUAAUCGGAAUUACUGGGCGUAAAGCGUGCGUAGGCGGUUUAUUAAGUCAGAUGUGAAAGCCCCGGGCUUAACCUGGGAACUGCAUUUGAAACUGGUCAACUAGAGUAUGGUAGAGGAAAGUGGAAUUUCUGGUGUAGCGGUGAAAUGCGUAGAUAUCAGAAGGAACAUCAAUGGCGAAAGGCAACUUUCUGGACCAAUACUGACGCUGAGGUACGAAAGCGUGGGUAGCAAACAGGAUUAGAUACCCUGGUAGUCCACGCCGUAAACGAUGAUAACUAGCCGUUGGGGGGAUUUACCCCUUAGUGGCGAAGCUAACGCGUUAAGUUAUCCGCCUGGGGAGUACGGCCGCAAGGUUAAAACUCAAAGGAAUUGACGGGGACCCGCACAAGCGGUGGAGCAUGUGGUUUAAUUCGAUGCAACGCGAAGAACCUUACCUGGUCUUGACAUCCUGAGAACUUUCUAGAAAUAGAUUGGUGCCUUCGGGAACUCAGUGACAGGUGCUGCAUGGCUGUCGUCAGCUCGUGUCGUGAGAUGUUGGGUUAAGUCCCGUAACGAGCGCAACCCCUAUCCUUAUUUGCCAGCACAUCAUGGUGGGAACUAUAAGGAGACUGCCGGUGAUAAACCGGAGGAAGGCGGGGACGACGUCAAGUCAUCAUGGCCCUUACGACCAGGGCUACACACGUGCUACAAUGGGAAGGACAAAGAGCCGCGAAGCCGCGAGGUGUAGCUAAUCUCAGAAACCUUUUCGUAGUCCGGAUUGGAGUCUGCAACUCGACUCCAUGAAGUCGGAAUCGCUAGUAAUCGUAGAUCAGAAUGCUACGGUGAAUACGUUCCCGGGUCUGUAC
RNAcentral lists this ribosomal RNA (1368 nucleotides) under uncultured marine bacterium. Its description in RNAcentral is "bacterial SSU rRNA". It matches the Rfam family "Bacterial small subunit ribosomal RNA", at positions 27 to 1386 of the family's 1533-position model. The record is from RNAcentral.